UACCAGCACCCCGAGUGGUCGGGACGAUUAUUGGGCCUAAAGCAUCCGUAGCCGGUCCUACAAGUCUUCCGUUAAAUCCACCUGCUUAACAGAUGGGCUGCGGAAGAUACUAUAGGGCUAGGAGGCGGGAGAGGCAAGCGGUACUCAGUGGGUAGGGGUAAAAUCCUCUGAUUCAUUGAAGACCACCAGUGGCGAAGGCGGCUUGCCAGAACGCGCUCGACGGUGAGGGAUGAAAGCUGGGGGAGCAAACCGG
RNAcentral lists this ribosomal RNA (253 nucleotides) under uncultured bacterium. RNAcentral's name for it is "partial 16S ribosomal RNA". It matches the Rfam family "Archaeal small subunit ribosomal RNA", at positions 474 to 727 of the family's 1478-position model. The record is from RNAcentral.